RNAcentral lists this ribosomal RNA (301 nucleotides) under uncultured bacterium. RNAcentral describes it as "partial 16S ribosomal RNA". It matches the Rfam family "Bacterial small subunit ribosomal RNA", at positions 509 to 807 of the family's 1533-position model. The record is from RNAcentral.
CAGUCGCCGCGGGAAUACGAAGGGUGCAAGCGUUACUCGGAAUUACUGGGCGUAAAGCGUGCGUAGGUGGUGGUUUAAGUCCGUUGUGAAAGCCCUGGGCUCAACCUGGGGAUUGCAGUGGAUACUGGGUCACUAGAGUGUGGUAGAGGAUAGUGGAAUUUCCGGUGUAGCAGUGAAAUGCGUAGAGAUCGGAAGGAACAUCUGUGGCGAAGGCGACUAUCUGGGCCAACACUGACACUGAGGCACGAAAGCGUGGGGAGCAAACAGGAUUAGAUACCCGGGUAGUCCCUGUCUCUUAUAC